GGUACUAGGAGCCGAUGAAGGACGGGACUAACACCGAUAUGCUUCGGGGAGCGGUAAGUACGCUUUGAUCCGGAGAUUUCCGAAUGGGGCAACCCAAUCAGCUUAGUCGCUGAUUACUUGACUAGUGAAUACAUAGCUAGCAAGAGGUAGACGCAGUGAACUGAAACAUCUUAGUAGCUGCAGGAAGAGAAAGAAACAUCGAUUCCCUGAGUAGCGGCGAGCGAAAAGGGAAGAGCCCAAACCAACAAG
Molecule: unclassified non-coding RNA, 249 nt
Filed under: Limosilactobacillus reuteri
Lineage: Bacteria; Bacillati; Bacillota; Bacilli; Lactobacillales; Lactobacillaceae
Description: Lactobacillus reuteri partial 16S-23S ribosomal RNA intergenic spacer
Rfam family: Bacterial large subunit ribosomal RNA
Source: RNAcentral